RNAcentral lists this transfer RNA (59 nucleotides) under Actinomycetota bacterium. RNAcentral describes it as "Actinobacteria bacterium tRNA-His". It matches the Rfam family "tRNA", at positions 8 to 62 of the family's 71-position model. Rfam says of the family: Transfer RNA (tRNA) molecules are approximately 80 nucleotides in length. Their secondary structure includes four short double-helical elements and three loops (D, anti-codon, and T loops). The record is from RNAcentral. Lineage: Bacteria; Bacillati; Actinomycetota.
UAGCUCAGCCUGGUUAGAGCGUCAGGUUGUGGCCCUGAAGGCCGGGGGUUCAAGUCCCC